This 199-nucleotide ribosomal RNA is filed under the name uncultured bacterium. RNAcentral's name for it is "partial 16S ribosomal RNA". It matches the Rfam family "Bacterial small subunit ribosomal RNA", at positions 159 to 353 of the family's 1533-position model. The record is from RNAcentral.
AAGAUUAAUACCGCAUAAGAUUGUAGUAUCGCAUGAUAUAGCAAUUAAAGGAAGCAAUCCGCUAUAAGAUGGACCCGCGUCGCAUUAGCUAGUUGGUGAGGUGAUGGCUCACCAAGGCGACGAUGCGUAGCCGACCUGAGAGGGUGAUCGGCCACAUUGGGACUGAGACACGGCCCAGACUCCUACGGGAGGCAGCAUG